CUCACCUAGUCUAAGCUAAGAAAAAAAUUAAUUGCUAAACUAAGAUAAAUUUUCGGAUGAAAGAAAUGGAAGUUGGGGUGAGGAAGAAAGGAGGAGAUAGGAGGAAGAGAAGAAGAGAGUUUCUAAGGAACGGGAGAGAACCCGACCACCUCUGAAGGGUAAUUUCGUCCUUUUAGCUUCUUGGAUACGAGAUGUUGCAGGUUUCAAUGCAAAUUCUGAGGAAGGAGAAGUUCCACCAAAGGACUAGAUCAGUGUUGUUAGAUACUGUUUGUAAAAUUAUUAAGGAAUAAGUUGUGUGUUAUAUUACUGUAGUGUGUGUAACUAACUUUGAGCUACUGUGACUCUGACUUUGUACUUAUUAAAAUAAGUUUGUAAUAUUAUUGACUCUAUUUCUAUCA
Long non-coding RNA from Prunus avium (sweet cherry), 398 nucleotides. RefSeq lists it as uncharacterized. Lineage: Eukaryota; Viridiplantae; Streptophyta; Magnoliopsida; Rosales; Rosaceae. The record is from RefSeq and is a predicted model, not a curated record.